GGGGCCGACUGGUAUCGACCGGACAGGGAAGGCAAGUGGUGGCGCGUCGAGGUGUACGUCUCCUCGUAAAUCCACGUGCAAACCAAUAAAUGCCAACGAUAACAUCGCUGGUCGUAUCGGCUUCGCGCCGGCACGCCUCGCUGCUUAAUAGCAGCACAUCCUCGGCUUAGUUCUCCAGUGACUGGCUUUGGGUGAAUGAUUAGCUGGAUCGCUCGCGUGUCAUGCCCCGGGGCACGCGGGUUAAAACUCAGGGGCUGGGCAACGUGCAGGGUGUCACUCCUCGGCAUGGAGCCAAGAAACAAACGAAUGACUACACGCGUAGAAGGUACUCGCUGACUGUCUCGGCACGGGGGUUCGAAUCCCCCCGGCUCCA
RNAcentral lists this transfer-messenger RNA (373 nucleotides) under Mucisphaera calidilacus. RNAcentral's name for it is "Planctomycetes bacterium Pan265 transfer-messenger RNA, SsrA". It matches the Rfam family "transfer-messenger RNA". From Rfam's summary of the family: Bacterial tmRNA, also known as 10Sa RNA or SsrA, is named for its dual tRNA and mRNA-like properties. Lineage: Bacteria; Pseudomonadati; Planctomycetota; Phycisphaerae; Phycisphaerales; Phycisphaeraceae. The record is from RNAcentral.